UACGUAGGGUGCAAGCGUUGUCCGGAAUUAUUGGGCGUAAAGAGCUCGUAGGCGGUUUGUCGCGUCUGCUGUGAAAACCCGAGGCUCAACCUCGGGCCUGCAGUGGGUACGGGCAGACUAGAGUGCGGUAGGGGAGAUUGGAAUUCCUGGUGUAGCGGUGGAAUGCGCAGAUAUCAGGAGGAACACCGGUGGCGAAGGCGGGUCUCUGGGCCGAUACCGACGCUGAGGCACGAAAGCUAGGGGAGCAAACAGG
RNAcentral lists this ribosomal RNA (253 nucleotides) under uncultured bacterium. Its description in RNAcentral is "partial 16S ribosomal RNA". It matches the Rfam family "Bacterial small subunit ribosomal RNA", at positions 524 to 776 of the family's 1533-position model. The record is from RNAcentral.